This 468-nucleotide ribosomal RNA is filed under the name uncultured bacterium. RNAcentral's name for it is "partial 16S ribosomal RNA". It matches the Rfam family "Bacterial small subunit ribosomal RNA", at positions 28 to 507 of the family's 1533-position model. The record is from RNAcentral.
GACGAACGCUGGCGGCGUGCUUAACACAUGCAAGUCGAACGGAAAGGCCCUGCUUUUGUGGGGUGCUCGAGUGGCGAACGGGUGAGUAACACGUGAGUAACCUGCCCUUGACUUUGGGAUAACUUCAGGAAACUGGGGCUAAUACCGGAUAGGAGCGCCUGCUGCAUGGCGGGGGGUGGAAAGUUUCGGCGGUUGGGGAUGGACUCGCGGCUUAUCAGCUUGUUGGUGGGGUAGUGGCUUACCAAGGCUUUGACGGGUAGCCGGCCUGAGAGGGUGACCGGCCACAUUGGGACUGAGAUACGGCCCAGACUCCUACGGGAGGCAGCAGUGGGGAAUAUUGCACAAUGGGCGGAAGCCUGAUGCAGCAACGCCGCGUGCGGGAUGACGGCCUUCGGGUUGUAAACCGCUUUCGCCUGUGACGAAGCGUGAGUGACGGUAAUGGGUAAAGAAGCACCGGCUAACUACGUG